AUAUAUAUAGUAUAAUAAAUUAAUUACAUUUAAUUUCCAAUUAAAUAAUUUUAUAAAUAAUAAAUAUAUAUA
This 72-nucleotide transfer RNA is filed under the name Hylaeus confusus. RNAcentral's name for it is "tRNA-Gly". The record is from RNAcentral. Lineage: Eukaryota; Metazoa; Arthropoda; Insecta; Hymenoptera; Colletidae.